This 2920-nucleotide ribosomal RNA is filed under the name Bacillus cereus VD169. RNAcentral's name for it is "bacterial LSU rRNA". It matches the Rfam family "Bacterial large subunit ribosomal RNA". The record is from RNAcentral. Lineage: Bacteria; Bacillati; Bacillota; Bacilli; Caryophanales; Bacillaceae.
UUAAGUUAGAAAGGGCGCACGGUGGAUGCCUUGACACUAGGAGUCGAUGAAGGACGGGACUAACGCCGAUAUGCUUCGGGGAGCUGUAAGUAAGCUUUGAUCCGAAGAUUUCCGAAUGGGGAAACCCACCAUACGUAAUGGUAUGGUAUCCUUAUCCGAAUACAUAGGGUAAGGAAGACAGACCCAGGGAACUGAAACAUCUAAGUACCUGGAGGAAGAGAAAGCAAAUGCGAUUUCCUGAGUAGCGGCGAGCGAAACGGAACAUAGCCCAAACCAAGAGGCUUGCCUCUUGGGGUUGUAGGACAUUCUAUACGGAGUUACAAAGGAACGAGGUAGACGAAGCGACCUGGAAAGGUCCGUCGUAGAGGGUAACAACCCCGUAGUCGAAACUUCGUUCUCUCUUGAAUGUAUCCUGAGUACGGCGGAACACGUGAAAUUCCGUCGGAAUCUGGGAGGACCAUCUCCCAAGGCUAAAUACUCCCUAGUGAUCGAUAGUGAACCAGUACCGUGAGGGAAAGGUGAAAAGCACCCCGGAAGGGGAGUGAAAGAGAUCCUGAAACCGUGUGCCUACAAAUAGUCAGAGCCCGUUAACGGGUGAUGGCGUGCCUUUUGUAGAAUGAACCGGCGAGUUACGAUCCCGUGCGAGGUUAAGCUGAAGAGGCGGAGCCGCAGCGAAAGCGAGUCUGAAUAGGGCGUUUAGUACGUGGUCGUAGACCCGAAACCAGGUGAUCUACCCAUGUCCAGGGUGAAGUUCAGGUAACACUGAAUGGAGGCCCGAACCCACGCACGUUGAAAAGUGCGGGGAUGAGGUGUGGGUAGCGGAGAAAUUCCAAUCGAACCUGGAGAUAGCUGGUUCUCCCCGAAAUAGCUUUAGGGCUAGCCUUAAGUGUAAGAGUCUUGGAGGUAGAGCACUGAUUGGACUAGGGGUCCUCAUCGGAUUACCGAAUUCAGUCAAACUCCGAAUGCCAAUGACUUAUCCUUAGGAGUCAGACUGCGAGUGAUAAGAUCCGUAGUCAAAAGGGAAACAGCCCAGACCGCCAGCUAAGGUCCCAAAGUGUGUAUUAAGUGGAAAAGGAUGUGGAGUUGCUUAGACAACUAGGAUGUUGGCUUAGAAGCAGCCACCAUUUAAAGAGUGCGUAAUAGCUCACUAGUCGAGUGACUCUGCGCCGAAAAUGUACCGGGGCUAAAUACACCACCGAAGCUGCGGAUUGAUACCAAUGGUAUCAGUGGUAGGGGAGCGUUCUAAGGACAGUGAAGUCAGACCGGAAGGACUGGUGGAGUGCUUAGAAGUGAGAAUGCCGGUAUGAGUAGCGAAAGACGGGUGAGAAUCCCGUCCACCGAAUGCCUAAGGUUUCCUGAGGAAGGCUCGUCCGCUCAGGGUUAGUCAGGACCUAAGCCGAGGCCGACAGGCGUAGGCGAUGGACAACAGGUUGAUAUUCCUGUACCACCUCUUUAUCGUUUGAGCAAUGGAGGGACGCAGAAGGAUAGAAGAAGCGUGCGAUUGGUUGUGCACGUCCAAGCAGUUAGGCUGAUAAGUAGGCAAAUCCGCUUAUCGCAAAGGCUGAGCUGUGAUGGGGAAGCUCCUUAUGGAGCGAAGUCUUUGAUUCCCCGCUGCCAAGAAAAGCUUCUAGCGAGAUAAAAGGUGCCUGUACCGCAAACCGACACAGGUAGGCGAGGAGAGAAUCCUAAGGUGUGCGAGAGAACUCUGGUUAAGGAACUCGGCAAAAUGACCCCGUAACUUCGGGAGAAGGGGUGCUUUCUUAACGGAAAGCCGCAGUGAAUAGGCCCAAGCGACUGUUUAGCAAAAACACAGCUCUCUGCGAAGCCGUAAGGCGAAGUAUAGGGGGUGACACCUGCCCGGUGCUGGAAGGUUAAGGAGAGGGGUUAGCGUAAGCGAAGCUCUGAACUGAAGCCCCAGUAAACGGCGGCCGUAACUAUAACGGUCCUAAGGUAGCGAAAUUCCUUGUCGGGUAAGUUCCGACCCGCACGAAAGGUGUAACGAUUUGGGCACUGUCUCAACCAGAGACUCGGUGAAAUUAUAGUACCUGUGAAGAUGCAGGUUACCCGCGACAGGACGGAAAGACCCCGUGGAGCUUUACUGUAGCCUGAUAUUGAAUUUUGGUACAGUUUGUACAGGAUAGGCGGGAGCCAUUGAAACCGGAGCGCUAGCUUCGGUGGAGGCGCUGGUGGGAUACCGCCCUGACUGUAUUGAAAUUCUAACCUACGGGUCUUAUCGACCCGGGAGACAGUGUCAGGUGGGCAGUUUGACUGGGGCGGUCGCCUCCUAAAGUGUAACGGAGGCGCCCAAAGGUUCCCUCAGAAUGGUUGGAAAUCAUUCGUAGAGUGCAAAGGCAUAAGGGAGCUUGACUGCGAGACCUACAAGUCGAGCAGGGACGAAAGUCGGGCUUAGUGAUCCGGUGGUUCCGCAUGGAAGGGCCAUCGCUCAACGGAUAAAAGCUACCCCGGGGAUAACAGGCUUAUCUCCCCCAAGAGUCCACAUCGACGGGGAGGUUUGGCACCUCGAUGUCGGCUCAUCGCAUCCUGGGGCUGUAGUCGGUCCCAAGGGUUGGGCUGUUCGCCCAUUAAAGCGGUACGCGAGCUGGGUUCAGAACGUCGUGAGACAGUUCGGUCCCUAUCCGUCGUGGGCGUAGGAAAUUUGAGAGGAGCUGUCCUUAGUACGAGAGGACCGGGAUGGACGCACCGCUGGUGUACCAGUUGUUCUGCCAAGGGCAUAGCUGGGUAGCUAUGUGCGGAAGGGAUAAGUGCUGAAAGCAUCUAAGCAUGAAGCCCCCCUCAAGAUGAGAUUUCCCAUAGCGUAAGCUAGUAAGAUCCCUGAAAGAUGAUCAGGUUGAUAGGUUCGAGGUGGAAGCAUGGUGACAUGUGGAGCUGACGAAUACUAAUAGAUCGAGGACUUAACCAU